Molecule: small nucleolar RNA, 72 nt
Organism: Choloepus didactylus (southern two-toed sloth)
Lineage: Eukaryota; Metazoa; Chordata; Mammalia; Pilosa; Megalonychidae
Product: small nucleolar RNA SNORD24
Exons: 1
Source: RefSeq, a predicted model, not a curated record
UGCAGAGGAUGGAAAACAUUUGCCGUCUGAACCGUGGUGAUGGUUCUUUAAACCACCGAGAUCGCUGAUGCG